GGCAGCGACUCUUAAACACUGCUGAAUGACAAUGAAAACAUCCCUGUGCUAUCAACACUGCCUUCAGCACAAAUCCAAAACAGCCUCAUACUAGAUAUGUAUCAUUGAAAGAAGAUCCUUCUACAGAUGAAAGUUGCUUCACACUUGUUGCAGUUGUCCAGUCAAAGAAUCAAAAAACUACAUGGAAAGGAAAGCUACUAUAAGGAAAGGAAGCUUAGGAAGGACAGGUAAUAAAACCAGGACACUCAUUGUUGUCCCUACAUGCUUAGGGACAAUUGAACAACAUUACAGUCC
This is a long non-coding RNA of Passer domesticus (house sparrow), 294 nucleotides long. RefSeq lists it as uncharacterized. The record is from RefSeq and is a predicted model, not a curated record. Lineage: Eukaryota; Metazoa; Chordata; Aves; Passeriformes; Passeridae. The transcript has 3 exons.